Molecule: ribosomal RNA, 492 nt
Filed under: uncultured bacterium
Lineage: Bacteria
Description: partial 16S ribosomal RNA
Rfam family: Bacterial small subunit ribosomal RNA
Source: RNAcentral
GGUGAACGCUGGCGGUAGGCCUAACACAUGCAAGUCGAACGGCAGCACAGUAAGAGCUUGCUCUUACGGGUGGCGAGUGGCGGACGGGUGAGGAAUACAUCGGAAUCUACUUUUUCGUGGGGGAUAACGUAGGGAAACUUACGCUAAUACCGCAUACGACCUACGGGUGAAAGCAGGGGAUCUUCGGACCUUGCGCGAUUGAAUGAGCCGAUGUCGGAUUAGCUAGUUGGCGGGGUAAAGGCCCACCAAGGCGACGAUCCGUAGCUGGUCUGAGUGGAUGAUCAGCCACACUGGAACUGAGACACGGUCCAGACUCCUACGGGAGGCAGCAGUGGGGAAUAUUGGACAAUGGGCGCAAGCCUGAUCCAGCCAUACCGCGUGGGUGAAGAAGGCCUUCGGGUUGUAAAGCCCUUUUGUUGGGAAAGAAAAGCAGCAGGUUAAUACCCCGCUGUUCUGACGGUACCCAAAGAAUAAGCACCGGCUAACUUCGUG